CUCCCCUUUUCUUCAAGAACCUACGCGUAAUAAUCUUUCUCCUAUUUUCUUCAAAAACCUAUGCGUACAACCAUCCAAGAACAAGAAUACAAUGUACAACAACAAUUCCCAGCUUCAGUGAAACAGCAUUCAAACCCACUGACCCACUCGACCAAAAUCCAUCCAAAUCGACCCAACCCGUCAUCCUCAACCCAAAAUUUGGCGAAAACCAACUUCCCAAAGUCGACCUGACUUUGACCCGCCUAGAUGGCGUGUGUUUGUUACGAAAAUUUAACAGAAAAUUCUAGAAAUGGGUGAGCUGGCUCACCCCAACGUUCAAAUCCCAUGAAUUUCGGGUACCAUAGUACGAAUUCAUACAUAGAUGGAGAAUUUUCAUUAGCUCGGGGAUAUGAUUCUCCUUUCUUUUGAAAUUAGCAAUGGAUUUAGGAACGUUUUAGGGAGGGAAUUCCUUAUCUAGAAGGGAUUCCAUUUUUGGCGAGCUUCCAAAAAUACCCCUAAUUCGACUUUCUAUAUAAAUUGGUUCUCUAUUUCGGGGGGUGAAAGAUUUUUAGGUUAGGGAAAUUUGGGUUGAAAAUUCUGGGGCUCGAAAAAUUUUAUAAGUCUGAGAAGAGAAGAAAAUUUGCUUGUUUCUAAGGGGGGUUAGAGAAAUUUUAGGUUCGAAAAAGGGGGAAAUUCUGAAAAAAAAAAAAAAAGGAAACUGUUUUCAGUGAAAGUUCUUGUGUCUAAGGAAGGUUGGCGAUUAUUUAGAGUCUUUUAUUUUUUUUGGAAUCACGUUGAGGUCUUCUGGUGGUAGUUGAGAUUCCGUUGAAGCCUCGAGUCCUAUUUUGCUGCUCCCGAAUAGGAUUCCCUGGGAUUUUUCUUGGACAGAAGCAUCAAGAAAGAAGAGAUGAAGUCACGAUCUCUUACUUCUGAAAGUGAGGUUGAGAGGUGGAGUAGAAUAUUACAAUGGUCUACUUCCAUCUUCAAAAGCUUACUGCAAAAGUUCUUUUUUUUGUUUCUUUCCUCUUUUAGAACAUUUAGGAUUCUCAAUACCUUCCCGCCCUUGCUUGUCUUGUUCGUUUGUCAAACAAUAUUUGCCUUAAGUAAUCUAUGGCUUUACCUAUUCGAAAGGGUUCUGGAGUAUGAUUUAUUGGUCUUGAUUGAUAAGUGUCACUAUAUGUAUCUCUUCCGUUCAAAUUGUUGUGUGUUUCUCCUUGGGUUAGAGUGCCUGAUUGAACAAUUGAACACUUCAUUUUCUGUUGUUAUCUCUUACCACGAAAGCAAAAUACAAAAAUCCAUUUAUAGCAAUCUUUGUACCUUUUACAAACUUACACCUGACUUAUGUUUUGUGGUGUUAGUAAAUAAUUUAUAUAAGACAUGAUGUUUCCAGGGGAUAUGCAAAGGGAAAAGGUGCAUUUUGGUAUCUUUGCACACCAAUAUGAAAUGAAAUAUGAAUCUAAUGAAUUAUACUUAUUUUCUGACCUUUUUUAUUGCUUUUCUAUUGCUAGUUUCCCGUAUUAACAUUUUUCCCUUAUAAGCAUGUCUCAUUGCUCUUUAAUCAUCUUUUAAUUAUUAAAGAUCCGUGUUAUGUUGAUUUCUUUAAUUUGAUUAUGUAUCAACUCCCUUUACUUCUUUCUUCGUUUUUGGUUGGUCAUGUGUCAACUGACUUUAGUAAACUUCUCUCUAGGUUGGUUAAUGUGUUAAUUAACUUUUCUUUUCUUUUUUUUAUUCCUCUCAUUGGUAGUAUAUUAAUAUCCUUUAUUUUUCUUAUUUUGCAUAAAAAAUUCGUUGGAAUCCAAACGGAUUUUUCACUUCCCAUUUUGUAAUGGGCCAAUGAGGCCCAUCUUUCGAGUCAACCCCGAGACCAAGUCCAAAAGCCGAUCAUGAGGCGUAUGGAUGCUAGAAGAUAGAAGAAGAAAAUGCGGGUUAAAGACCCACAUUUGAAGCGGCUAAGACAUGCAAAAGUUUCAUUUAUUAUUUCAUUCCGUUAAAUUAUUAUUGUCUUUAUAGCCAAGGUUGUAUUUAACACAGGUAGAGGCAAGAUUCGAGCUAAACGCUCAAAAAUUAGAUUAGGACAGGUGAAAUGGGUCGAAGGCCCAAUUAGACAGGACAGGUUUUGUUGGUUUGGGCCAAUGGCCUAAAUCCUUUACUUCCUCCCCUUCCCCCUGUUCUUUAUGUUUGUUUUGCUUAUGUGCUUUGCAAACCUA
Capsicum annuum is the source of this 2186-nucleotide long non-coding RNA. RefSeq lists it as uncharacterized. Lineage: Eukaryota; Viridiplantae; Streptophyta; Magnoliopsida; Solanales; Solanaceae. The record is from RefSeq and is a predicted model, not a curated record. The transcript has 2 exons.